GGAUGAUUAAAAUAUGUGAUAUUCGAUAUUUAAAACUUGUUCUUUGUGGUAUUUUACAUGUGAAAAUUAAAACUACAUGUUGUUAUAAAUCCAAAUUUUACGUGAAUUCGAAUAAUUUCUCCAUUUGCUUUCGGAAACCUUUAAGAAACAAAAUCAUUUCCAGACGGUUAUCACAAGUUGCAAACAACAUAUUCUUAGUUAAACACGUCUUUAUUAUUCUUAUGACCGCCACUCGGGUUAAUAACAAGGUCUAGAGGGCUCGUCACAUAUUCUGACCUCACUUUAAAUAGACCUGUAAUUUGAAUAUGAUGGAUGUUCAAGAAGUACAGAGCACAGGGCAAAAUGGAUUAGUUUCUCUAGAACUUCCGACUGAUGGAGAAGUCUGGGUUUUCGGUUUGGAAAAUAUUAGCCUAAAUACUGAAAUCAGAUAUAAUUGAAUAAAAAAGAUUGUACUUUGGCUAACAUUUAAUAGAGGAGAAACAUGUAUUCUUCUCGGGCCACUUACAUGCCGUGCGUUAAAGGAAGAAAGUCGUUGUUCAACCAGCAGAAAAACUCUACACAGCCUUAACUACAGGUCGCAUGCAAUGACACGAGUAAAUAAGUCAUACACUUCGGUAUACAAUAUUAUAUUCUGCCAUUACGCGACAGAUAUAAAUUCAUUUACAAAUGAAUGCUUUCUUUUUAAAGAUGGAAUACACCAAUCGCUUCUAGUAAUGCAUGAAAAUGUGAGAAAUGAAUCAACUUAUUUUAGGAACAUUUUUUUACCUUUACAAGAUUAGAC
This 781-nucleotide long non-coding RNA is filed under the name Androctonus crassicauda. Lineage: Eukaryota; Metazoa; Arthropoda; Arachnida; Scorpiones; Buthidae. The record is from RNAcentral.